CCCAUCGUGAGGUGGGAUCUGAAGGAAGCUUAAGGCAAAAUUCCGACCCAAGGCACACGAACAUCAUCAGGCAUAAGGUAUGGGAUGAGUUUGCAAUACAAAACGAAGUCCAAUCAACUACACGGACAUACCAGUGUAAAUGAUGUGGGUACAUGGAAUGAAAGUUAAUCGU
Molecule: non-coding RNA, 172 nt
Organism: Natranaerobius thermophilus JW/NM-WN-LF
Lineage: Bacteria; Bacillati; Bacillota; Clostridia; Natranaerobiales; Natranaerobiaceae
Source: Rfam